GCGGAUUUUAACACCCUUGGAGUCAUCUACGAACGAGGACUCAUUGGAACAUAUCAAAAUUGGUGUGAGGCAAUGUCAACUUAUCCUCGAACAUAUGACUUCAUUCAUGGCGAUUCGGUCUUCAGUAUGUACAAGGACAGAUGUGAAAUGGAGGAUAUUCUGCUGGAAAUGGACAGGAUUCUUCGGCCACAGGGCAGCGUGAU
This 203-nucleotide unclassified non-coding RNA is filed under the name Hevea brasiliensis (rubber tree). Lineage: Eukaryota; Viridiplantae; Streptophyta; Magnoliopsida; Malpighiales; Euphorbiaceae. The record is from RNAcentral.